This 897-nucleotide ribosomal RNA is filed under the name uncultured bacterium. Its description in RNAcentral is "bacterial SSU rRNA". It matches the Rfam family "Bacterial small subunit ribosomal RNA", at positions 28 to 916 of the family's 1533-position model. The record is from RNAcentral.
GAUGAACGCUAGCGGCAGGCCUAACACAUGCAAGUCGAGGGGCAGCACGUAAAUUACUUCGGUAGUUUUGGUGGCGACCGGCGGACGGGUGCGUAACGCGUGUGCAACCUACCCAUAACAGGGGGAUAACGUCGGGAAAACUGGCACUAAUACCCCAUAAUAUCAUUAACGGCACCGUUGGUGGUUGAAAGCUCCGGCGGUUAUNGAUGGGCACGCGUUGUAUUAGAUAGUUGGUGAGGUAACGGCUCACCAAGUCAGCGAUACAUAGGGGGACUGAGAGGUUAACCCCCCACACUGGUACUGAGACACGGACCAGACUCCUACGGGAGGCAGCAGUGAGGAAUAUUGGUCAAUGGGGGCAACCCUGAACCAGCCAUGCCGCGUGCAGGAAGACGGCUCUAUGAGUUGUAAACUGCUUUUGCAAGGGGAUAAAUGUCGGUACGUGUACCGAUUUGAAGGUACCUUGCGAAUAAGGAUCGGCUAACUCCGUGCCAGCAGCCGCGGUAAUACGGAGGAUUCAAGCGUUAUCCGGAUUUAUUGGGCUUAAAGGGUGCGUAGGCGGUAGAGUAAGUUAGCGGUGAAAUCUCGGGGCUCAACCCCGAAACUGCCGUUAAAACUGCUUUGCUAGAGAUGAGAUGCCGUUGGCGGAAUGUGUAGUGUAGCGGUGAAAUGCUUAGAGAUUACACAGAACACCGAUUGCGAAGGCAGCUAACGAAUCUCGAUCUGACGUUGAGGCACGAAAGCGUGGGUAGCAAACAGGAUUAGAUACCCUGGUAGUCCACGCAGUAAACGAUGAUAGCUCGUUGUCGGCGAUACACAGUCGGUGACUUAGCGAAAGCGUUAAGCUAUCCACCUGGGGAGUACGUUCGCAAGAAUGAAACUCAAAUGAAUUGACGG